RNAcentral lists this ribosomal RNA (1707 nucleotides) under Salmonella enterica subsp. enterica serovar Typhi. RNAcentral's name for it is "partial 23S ribosomal RNA". It matches the Rfam family "Bacterial large subunit ribosomal RNA", at positions 1 to 1648 of the family's 2925-position model. Lineage: Bacteria; Pseudomonadati; Pseudomonadota; Gammaproteobacteria; Enterobacterales; Enterobacteriaceae. The record is from RNAcentral.
GGUUAAGCGACUAAGCGUACACGGUGGAUGCCCUGGCAGUCAGAGGCGAUGAAGGGCGUGCUAAUCUGCGAUAAGCGCCGGUAAGGUGAUAUGAACCGUUAUAACCGGCGAUACCCGAAUGGGGAAACCCAGUGUGAUUCGUCACACUAUCAUUAACUGAAUCCAUAGGUUAAUGAGGCGAACCGGGGGAACUGAAACAUCUAAGUACCCCGAGGAAAAGAAAUCAACCGAGAUUCCCCCAGUAGCGGCGAGCGAACGGGGAGGAGCCCAGAGCCUGAAUCAGCAUGUGUGUUAGUGGAAGCGUCUGGAAAGGCGCGCGAUACAGGGUGACAGCCCCGUACACAAAAGCGCAUAUGCUGUGAGCUCGAUGAGUAGGGCGGGACACGUGGUAUCCUGUCUGAAUAUGGGGGGACCAUCCUCCAAGGCUAAAUACUCCUGACUGACCGAUAGUGAACCAGUACCGUGAGGGAAAGGCGAAAAGAACCCCGGCGAGGGGAGUGAAAAAGAACCUGAAACCGUGUACGUACAAGCAGUGGGAGCCCCACCACUAAGCCAGUGGUGAACUCCACAUACGCAUCCUUUGCUGAGGAGACGGUUAACGGAGCGAAAGCGACGUUCAACCUCAAAAGAAGCAGAGGGGGCUUAGUGGUGGGGUGACUGCGUACCUUUUGUAUAAUGGGUCAGCGACUUAUAUUCUGUAGCAAGGUUAACUGUAUAGGGGAGCCGGAGGGAAACCGAGUCUUAACCGGGCGUUAAGUUGCAGGGUAUAGACCCGAAACCCGGUGAUCUAGCCAUGGGCAGGUUGAAGGUUGGGUAACACUAACUGGAGGACCGAACCGACUAAUGUUGAAAAAUUAGCGGAUGACCUGUGGCUGGGGGUGAAAGGCCAAUCAAACCGGGAGAUAGCUGGUUCUCCCCGAAAGCUAUUUAGGUAGCGCCUCGUGAAUUCAUCUCCGGGGGUAGAGCACUGUUUCGGCUAGGGGGCCAUCCCGGCUUACCAACCCGAUGCAAACUGCGAAUACCGGAGAAUGUUAUCACGGGAGACACACGGCGGGUGCUAAUGUCCGUCGUGAAGAGGGAAACAACCCAGACCGCCAGCUAAGGUCCCAAAGUCAUGGUUAAGUGGGAAACGAUGUGGGAAGGCCCAGACAGCCAGGAUGUUGGCUUAGAAGCAGCCAUCAUUUAAAGAAAGCGUAAUAGCUCACUGGUCGAGUCGGCCUGCGCGGAAGAUGUAACGGGGCUAAACCAUGCACCGAAGCUGCGGCAGCGACACCGUGUGUUGUUGGGUAGGGGAGCGUUCUGUAAGCCUGUGAAGGUGUGCUGUGAGGCAUGCUGGAGGUAUCAGAAGUGCGAAUGCUGACAUAAGUAACGAUAAAGCGGGUGAAAAGCCCGCUCGCCGGAAGACCAAGGGUUCCUGUCCAACGUUAAUCGGGGCAGGGUGAGUCGACCCCUAAGGCGAGGCCGAAAGGCGUAGUCGAUGGGAAACGGGUUAAUAUUCCCGUACUUGGUGUUACUGCGAAGGGGGGACGGAGAAGGCUAUGUUGGCCGGGCGACGGUUGUCCCGGUUUAAGCGUGUAGGUAUGUGUUCCAGGUAAAUCCGGUUCACUUUAACACUGAGGCGUGACGACGAGGCACUACGGUGCUGAAGCAACAAAUGCCCUGCUUCCAGGAAAAGCCUCUAAGCAUCAGGUAACAUCAAAUCGUACC